RNAcentral lists this long non-coding RNA (520 nucleotides) under Mytilus galloprovincialis (Mediterranean mussel). The record is from RNAcentral. Lineage: Eukaryota; Metazoa; Mollusca; Bivalvia; Mytilida; Mytilidae.
CCCGUCGAUAUGCACAUCUACAUAGUAUGUCCUUAUUAUCUGAAAAGGUUUCGUGAAAUUCUGUUGUAUGGUUUGAGAGGAGUUGCGAUGACAAACUGUUGCAGUAGUACAUUAAAGUAAAUAAGUUCAAAGGGGCGUAACUCCUAGAAAAAAAAUUGAAUCGCAAUUUCCCGUCGAUAUGCACAACUACAUAGUAUGUCCUUAUUAUCUGAAAAGGUUUCGUGAAAUUCUGUUGUGUGGUUUGAGAGAAGUUGCGAUGACAAACUGUUGCAGUAGUACAUUAAAGUAAAUAAGUUCAAAAGGGCGUAACUCCUAGAAAAAAAAAUUGAAUCGCAAUUUCCCGUCGAUAUGCACAACUACAUAGUAUGUCCUUAUUAUCUGAAAAGGUUUCGUGAAAUUCUGUUGUGUGGUUUGAGAGGAGUUGCGAUGACAAGAAACAGGACUGACGGACGGACGGACGGACUGACGGACGGGUCAAAAACAUUAUACCCUCCGCAACCCGUUGCGUGGGGUAUAAUAA